AAUCAAACAACAUCAUAAAAAUACUAUCAGACACUAUCUCAUUUUCGGCCCGAAAAUGCUAUCUUAAGAUAACUAUCUUGCUAUUUUCUAUCAUGGCAAUCAAACGAACCUUUAGUGGAGAACUAAUCUGCUGCACAACUAAUAUGAGCGACUGUGGGCGCUUACAUGUCACAUAAGCCUGAUUUGAAGUUGUUUCCGUUUUUCAAUUCUGUUUUCUUUUCUCUUUCUUCUGCAUUAUUUUCUAAUCUUUUUUCUCUACCUUUUGCAAUUCUCUCCCCAUUAGUGAACCUCUUCAUUGCCAUGACAGUAGCCUCGUUCAAUAUUUUCCAAAAUUAAAUCUCACCUCACCGUUGCAUAUACUAAAACGCAUCACCCGAACCUCCCCUUCCACGUCAAAGUCCGCCUCACCGAGCUCCAAAUCGGCGAGGUCGAAUCGAAAAAAGGCAUACAGUUUUGCUCAGUUCUUUUUUCUCCAGAUCUAAUUCUCCUUCAAGUAACCCAGCAGUUCCAUUUUCAUGAUUUUUUUCUCUAAAUUGAAAUUCCACAACACAUCUCAGCUUUUGAUUUCUUGCUUCUCCUACAAUUUCAGAAAUCACAAAAUUGUAGAGCGAGAAAUGUAAAACCCCUCCCACUCUAUUUAUUCUCCUCAAAAUUUCAGAAAAAUUGCAAAAGCGGAUGAAGUUUGGGGAGAAAUUUUGGGAGUAUUGCAUGCCAAGAAGGAAGAAAUUUGGCAAGAACGAAUGAAAGAUUGAGACGAAGAGAGAAGACCCAGUACAAAAUUCCAUUUGCAGUGGUCGGCGCAACUGGAAAAAAAAAAAGUUUUUCGCCGAAUAUUGAACAUAACUCGGCUAGAUAAACUUAGUGAUGUAGUGGGUACUUGGUAGAGAUGAAGUGCAUUAUAGUAGACAGUGAAUAUUAAGGAUAAUUAAUUAAAAUAAUAGUAAGAAAAUUAAUUAUUCCACUGCCAUGUAAGUGGCCGCCUAUCUAUCGCUCACAUGGUGGCGUUCAAGAGAUCAAAUCUCCACAUGGAGUAUAGUAACCCGCAUACUAAUCCUAUCUAUGUUCAUAUCCGACA
Salvia splendens (bonfire salvia) is the source of this 1075-nucleotide long non-coding RNA. RefSeq lists it as uncharacterized. The record is from RefSeq and is a predicted model, not a curated record. Lineage: Eukaryota; Viridiplantae; Streptophyta; Magnoliopsida; Lamiales; Lamiaceae. The transcript has 2 exons.